GACGAACGCUGGCGGCGUGCUUAACACAUGCAAGUCGAACGGUGAAGCGCCUUCCUUUUUGGUGGGUGUGGAUGAGUGGCGAACGGGUGAGUAACACGUGAGUAACCUGCCCCCUUCUUCUGGAUAACCGCAUGAAAGUGUGGCUAAUACGGGAUAUUCUGGGCCUGUCGCAUGAUGGGUCUGGGAAAGAUAUUGUUUCGGUGGGGGAUGGGCUCGCGGCCUAUCAGCUUGUUGGUGGGGUGAUGGCCUACCAAGGCGGUGACGGGUAGCCGGCCUGAGAGGGUGGACGGUCACACUGGGACUGAGACACGGCCCAGACUCCUACGGGAGGCAGCAGUGGGGAAUAUUGCACAAUGGGCGCAAGCCUGAUGCAGCGACGCCGCGUGAGGGAUGGAGGCCUUCGGGUUGUGAACCUCUUUCGCCAGUGAAGCAGGCCUGCCUCGUUUGUGGGUGGGUUGACGGUAGCUGGAGAAGAAGCGCCGGCUAACUUCGUG
This 494-nucleotide ribosomal RNA is filed under the name uncultured bacterium. RNAcentral's name for it is "partial 16S ribosomal RNA". It matches the Rfam family "Bacterial small subunit ribosomal RNA", at positions 28 to 507 of the family's 1533-position model. The record is from RNAcentral.